RNAcentral lists this ribosomal RNA (253 nucleotides) under uncultured bacterium. RNAcentral describes it as "partial 16S ribosomal RNA". It matches the Rfam family "Bacterial small subunit ribosomal RNA", at positions 524 to 776 of the family's 1533-position model. The record is from RNAcentral.
UACGUAGGGUGCGAGCGUUGUCCGGAAUUAUUGGGCGUAAAGGGCUCGUAGGCGGUCUGUCGCGUCGGGAGUGAAAACUCAGGGCUUAACCCUGAGCCUGCUUCCGAUACGGGCAGACUAGAGGUAUGCAGGGGAGAGCGGAACUCCUGGUGUAGCGGUGGAAUGCGCAGAUAUCAGGAAGAACACCGGUGGCGAAGGCGGCUCUCUGGGCCUUACCUGACGCUGAGGAGCGAAAGCGUGGGUAGCGAACAGG